This 1708-nucleotide long non-coding RNA is filed under the name Mytilus galloprovincialis (Mediterranean mussel). Lineage: Eukaryota; Metazoa; Mollusca; Bivalvia; Mytilida; Mytilidae. The record is from RNAcentral.
CCCGGCCUCGUUAACAUUAGUAUAGAACAUCUAUUAUGGUUAAUUAUGUUAGUACACAAAUUUUCAUUGAUCCGGAUAUAAUUCGUGUUUUCGCCUGAAUGAUUUUCUAUACUAGUAUCUUUGUUUACAAAGAAGGUAGAUAACACGUGCAGUGCAUAUAUAUGGAAUAUAAACUAAUUAGUGCUUUUUAUUCAAGGAAAUGUUUCCAAAAUAUUUGUUUUGAAAGGAUUAUUGAUAUGCCGUUAUCUUUUUCUGUUGUGAGUAUUCGAUUGAUAUGCAAAUGCGUUUUACCUGUUUACCAAAUAUAACUACAGUAAAAUCGGAUGCUAUUUUAAAUUGAAAGUAAUUUUCAUUUUCUGAGUGUUCUAAUGUCAGAUUAUAGAUUGUAACGUUAUGUUUUGGAUAACGUUAAACUAGUAUAAAAAAAAAUAUGUGGACAAAACAACAAAAAAGAGACGAAUAAUAUAUAGUACAAGUAAUAACCAUGAAAACAUAACAAAUACAUAUAAAACAACUGUUGACUGUUGUAUGAAAAUACAGUCAAAUCUCAACUCACAAUUGAUAAACACUAUAAUUUGCAUGCACAUACAUAAACAGGUAGUUAUACCUGUGCAGUGUUUGAAGAAAAGUUUCAGUAUAAUCUCAAUAUUUCAAAUAUUUACAUGUAUAUACAUAAACAGGUAAUUAAAUUUGUGCAAUGUUUGAAGAAAAUUACAGUAUAAUCUCUGUAUUUAGGUGAAUGAGUCAGACAUUCAGUUCAUUAAAUUGCUUUAAUAGUCUGUCAAUUUUAUAUCGUAAAAAGUUUCUUAUUUCAAUAAAAGUUCUGAUCUCUUGUCUUAAUAUUUUGAGUGGUUGUAUAACUUUUAUUUUUUUGUCAGACAUAUAGUAUACUUUAUAUAUUGUGUAACUGAUAAUAGUUAAAAGUAAAUUCAGUUCAUAGUACUCUUUAUCAUGUAUUUUAUAUCCCAAAAGCUAUGCUUUUUAGAUUGAUAACAUGUCUUCCAAUAUUUAAUUUCUUAAGAAUUUGUUGUACUUUUUCCCAAAAUAAUUCAAAAUAUGAACAUUUGAGGAAGAAGUGUUCAUAAUUCUCUAUUUGUUUACAGUGUAAGCAGGUAUCUGUUUCUACUAUAUGCCAUUGUUUUAAUAAUUGAUUACAGGGAAGUAUAUGAUGAAGUAGUUUCCAUCUAAAUAUUUUAUAUCUAUUAUCAUCUAAAAAUGUAAAGAUAAAUUUUAAAUGUUUCAUAUGCUAGAUUAGUAUUUUUCUAGUGUAAAGUAUGAUUUCCAUUUUAAAAAGCCAAUAGGUGUUUGCAUUUCCUUUGUUUCAAGUAAGAAGUUAUAAAUAUCAUGGUUAUUUAGGGUUUGAAUAGGCUUUUUGUUUAUGAUGUUCAGAUUUUCUUUUAUAUUUAUAUUGACUUGUGUAUGUUUAGAAGGUGAAUUUUUGAUGAUAUUGGGCCACUGUUUUGGAAUAGCUUUCUUCAGUUUUGUGAGCUCAGCUAUCCAGUUUUCCUUGUUUUUUAGUUUACUUAGUAUGAUGUCUGAGGAUAUAUUUCCAUCUUUAUCUAAUAAGUCAUUUAUAGCCAGAAUGUUGCUUUGUAUCCAGUUUUUAAACAGUAAACAUUUAUUGUUGAUGUUAAUAUAUUUAUUGCCCCAUAUUAUUUGUUUCCUUAUUUCCCAAAACAAUGUAGGCUUUUGUAUAGUUUUUUUCUUU